CUUCUGUGAAAAAGGUCUAAAAAAAGAAUGGUCACUGAUUAACGGAAAUAGCAUCAAUUUUCACCAUUAUUAAAAGGAAUCACUAACCCUGUGUUUGUGCUUAAUUUGAGCACUUUCCCCACUGAAAAUAAACCUCUGGUGGGGCAGCUGGGAGGGCAAAUAACACAUGGUCCGCUUCCUGCCCCCCACAGAGCCUGGUGCUGCCUUUGCCUGCCUGCCUCUCUCCAGGAGGGAAACCCUUCCACACAGCCAGGACAGGGCACACAUCUCCACCAAUGGCAGUUGCCUGGGCCUGUCUUCUUGGAGGAGCUAGAUUUGGCUUUCUGUGAGAACAGAACAGAUCGAGUUUGCCGGCCCCUGGCGUCGCAGUCCUUAACCCAGUCUCAGCUGAAAUGUCCUGGCUGCCAAUGGCAGCACAAGGUCUUUCCUGGAGCCUGCUGCGCUGGUGACGUCCACGCCAUUCUCGACUAACAGCCACCUCCUGGAAGCCCCGGGGGCGCCAUCCCACGCCUGCCCUGCUGGGAGGACUUGGGCUCCCCAGCCGCGUGGCUCCUGCGGUUCCACCCGCCUCUGCUGCCCUAGGACCAGCUCUGCUCCGCAGCCCAGCGCAGAGGGGGCCACCACACCCCCAGCAGAGCUCUUCACACUCAGGACCACGCCACACGUUCAUUUUUCAAAAGUUCAUUUGCAAAACUUAUCUCAAACCACUUUACUUGCAAAAAAUACAGAGAUGAGAAG
Molecule: long non-coding RNA, 738 nt
Filed under: Chinchilla lanigera (long-tailed chinchilla)
Lineage: Eukaryota; Metazoa; Chordata; Mammalia; Rodentia; Chinchillidae
Description: lncRNA (ENSCLAG00000026866.1)
Source: RNAcentral